ACCCCGCCCCGUCCGGCGGCGCGCACAGGUGGCGGCGGCACCGGUAGCUGAGGUGGAGCCUUUGGAAAUGGAAACGCGAGGCCUCACCAAGCCGCUCCUCCCUUUAGACCUUUCGGAGCGCCUUAGGGAAGCGCUUGGCUUGGCCUUGGAGGAAGUGCACAGGUGUUUGUGAGGUUGCAGCACAGCGUGGAAGGAAUAGGGUGUGUGACUGCUUAGACUGGUGCUGCUGCCAAGAAGUUACUCCUAAGAAAUUCUCCACUGCGUGAGACUUGUCCAUGAGAUUUUUGAGGCGUCUGCCGUGGGGCCUCUCCACUGGUCAUACCUCAGCCUGCUUGCUUCUUCCAUGCACACAUAUAGCCCAAUACACAGCCCUGUUUCGCUUUAAUAUCUGCAAGUUUGUAGCCAGAAAGCCUCAAAUCCUUUCCUACUACUCCAUCAGGGCUUGUUUUUACCUGUUUGGAAAGCAGUGCAGAGUAAAUGUUUGCCCUCACAGCCCUAGCCCUCUGAUACUGGAUUACACAGGGUUUAUCUUACUUCCCUUGAUGUCCAUUCCUACCAAGACAUACUGACACUGGGAUUUUUGCUUGGGGAGAAAAGAGUCCUGGCCUAGAAUUGGCAGAGGUACCAGGGAAUGUGGCCGAAUCUCUUUGUUCAUUCAAGAAAGCUGGGGAGGGACCUUUUACAAGGGUAUAUAGUGAUAGGACAAGGGUUAAUGGCUUUAAACUGGAAGAGAGGAGAUUUAGGUUAGACAUUAGGAAGAAAUUCUGUGAGGAUGGUGAGAUACUUAAAUAGAUUGCCCAGGGAAGUUGGAGAUUCCCUAUCCCUGGAAGUGUUCAAGGCCAGGUUGGAUGGGGCUUUGAGCAACAUGGUCUAGUGGGAGGUUGGAACUAGAUGAUCUUUAAGGUCCCUUCCAAACCAAACCAUUCUAUGAUAUGAUAUGCAGAACAUGGACAAAUAAUAAACCUCUUCCUCCCCCCAAAAGCACAUACAGGACCCAGUAUCCCACACUUAUUUUUAACCCGUGGCAUCUGAGAGACUGGUUUCUCCUGGCCAUCUUGGAAUAUGCUGUUCUGGGAAACCAAGGGAGAGUCAAGUGCAGGCAAAGUCCUGAAACUAGGAGAAGGAAGCUACAUCCUCCCCCAGAUAUCAAAUGAAACCUUUCUAUUUACAAGGAAACUUUGCAUUUUCUUCAAUUUAAAUAUGUAUGUGUAUCAAAAACAUCUGGAUCUAAACAGUGUGGCUCCACCACAAAAUGACUACAGCCCGCUUGGCUCUUUCUGGUCUGCCUCCAGAUCAGCCUCUCUGGCCAUCUAGUCUGGUGUUGAGAAAGCUUGUUUGGGUGCUACAAGUUAGGACAACCCCUAGAGAAAAACCUUAAAUAAAGAAGAACAGGCCCAAACCUCUCCAGACAGCCCUAGGCCUCUUUUGCACUGCAGGUUGUUUCAGAGUCCAGACUUCUGGCCCAUGUUGGGAUUGAUCCUGUCUGUGAUUAAGAAGAAUUUUGUAUAGUCCAUAUGGAGAGGACCAAAUUGGAGUUUGCAGCUGGCAAACAGGGCCCUGCAGAUCUGCACCAGGGAUGGGGCAGAUAAUUGGAGUUGCCUAACACUGUGUUCUGGGAGCAGAAAUGUCACUGAACAGAAAAAGUUCAGAAAGUCCUUCUCACCCAGAAGUAUAGUGGAUUUGAAAUGCCACCUUCAAAAAAAGACAGUGAAGUGAUCAAGGAGACAGAGGACUUUCUAAAGAAAGAAAAUAUUGUCUUAUUAAUU
This is a long non-coding RNA of Apus apus (common swift), 1766 nucleotides long. RefSeq lists it as uncharacterized. The transcript has 3 exons. The record is from RefSeq and is a predicted model, not a curated record. NCBI's taxonomy places the organism in Eukaryota, Metazoa, Chordata, Aves, Apodiformes, Apodidae.